Molecule: ribosomal RNA, 458 nt
Filed under: Glycyrrhiza glabra
Lineage: Eukaryota; Viridiplantae; Streptophyta; Magnoliopsida; Fabales; Fabaceae
Description: eukaryotic LSU rRNA
Rfam family: Eukaryotic large subunit ribosomal RNA (bases 313-458)
Source: RNAcentral
UGAAUUGCAGAAUCCCGUGAACCAUCGAGUCUUUGAACGCAAGUUGCGCCCGAAGCCAUUAGGCCAAGGGCACGUCUGCCUGGGUGUCACAGACCGUUGCCCGACAACAAUUGCCUCGCGAUAGGUACUUUGGUUGUGCAGGGUGAAUGUUGGCUUCCCGUGAGCAUUGCGGCCUCACGGUUGGCUCAAAACUGAGUCCAUGGUAGGGUUUGGCAUGAUCGAUGGUGGUUGAGUGACGCUCGAGACCAAUCAUGUGUGACUCCACUGAGUUUGGGCUCUGUAACCAAUAGGCGUCUUUGAACGCUCGUGAUGAGACCUCAGGUCAGGCGGGGCUACCCGCUGAGUUUAAGCAUAUCAAUAAGCGGAGGAAAAGAAACUAACAAGGAUUCCCUUAGUAANCGGCGAGCGAACCGGGAAGAGCCCACCAUGAAAAUCGGUCGCCCUCGGCGUUCGAAUUG